RNAcentral lists this transfer RNA (72 nucleotides) under Amazona ventralis. Its description in RNAcentral is "tRNA-Val". Lineage: Eukaryota; Metazoa; Chordata; Aves; Psittaciformes; Psittacidae. The record is from RNAcentral.
CAAGACGUAGCUACAACCCAAAGCAUUCAGCUUACACCUGAAAGAUAUCUGNCACCUAUCAGAUCGUCUUGA